AGGGUUCGAUUCUGGCUCAGGACGAACGCUGGCGGCGUGCUUAACACAUGCAAGUCGAGCGGAGAGUAUAGCAAUAUAUUCUUAGCGGCGGACGGGUGAGUAACGCGUGGGUAACCUGCCUUUUACAGGGGGAUAACACUGGGAAACUAGUGCUAAUACCGCAUAAAAUAGUGAAGUGGCAUCACUUUACUAUCAAAGGAGCAAUCCGGUAAAAGAUGGACCCGCGUCCGAUUAGCUAGUUGGAGGGUAACGGCCCACCAAGGCGACGAUCGGUAGCCGAACUGAGAGGUUGAUCGGCCACAUUGGGACUGAGACACGGCCCAGACUCCUACGGGAGGCAGCAGUGGGGAAUAUUGCGCAAUUGGGGGAAACCCUGACGCAGCAACGCCGCGUGAAGGAUGAAGGUUUUCGGAUUGUAGACUUCUUUGAUUGGGGACGAUAAUGACGGUACCCAAAAAACAAGCCACGGCUAACUACGUGCCAGCAGCCGC
RNAcentral lists this ribosomal RNA (491 nucleotides) under uncultured bacterium. RNAcentral describes it as "bacterial SSU rRNA". It matches the Rfam family "Bacterial small subunit ribosomal RNA", at positions 8 to 518 of the family's 1533-position model. The record is from RNAcentral.